Molecule: ribosomal RNA, 328 nt
Filed under: uncultured eukaryote
Lineage: Eukaryota
Description: partial 18S ribosomal RNA
Rfam family: Eukaryotic small subunit ribosomal RNA
Source: RNAcentral
CCCUUAGAUGUUCUGGGCCGCACGCGCGCUACACUGACUACUUCAACGAGUUGUUUCCUUGAUCGAAAGGUCUGGGUAAUCUUUGAAAGGUAGUCGUGAUGGGGAUAGAUCCUUGCAAUUUUUGAUCUUCAACGAGGAAUUCCUAGUAAACGCAAGUCAUCAGUUUGCAUUGAUUACGUCCCUGCCCUUUGUACACACCGCCCGUCGCACCUACCGAUUGAAUGGUCCGGUGAAUCUUUAGGACUGUGGCUGAGGCCUUGCCUUGUGCGGGUCUGGCCGUGGGAAUUUAGUUAAACCUUACCAUUUAGAGGAAGGUGAAGUCGUAACA